CCUACGGGAGGCAGCAGUGAGGAAUAUUGGUCAAUGGACGAGAGUCUGAACCAGCCAAGCAGCGUGAAGGAUGACUGCCCUAUGGGUUGUAAACUUCUUUUAUAUGGGAAUAAAAUGUUCCACGUGUGGGAUUUUGUAUGUACCAUAUGAAUAAGGAUCGGCUAACUCCGUGCCAGCAGCCGCGGUAAUACGGAGGAUUCGAGCGUUAUCCGGAUUUAUUGGGUUUAAAGGGAGCGUAGGUGGAUUGUUAAGUCAGUUGUGAAAGUUUGCGGCUCAACCGUAAAAUUGCAGUUGAAACUGGCAGUCUUGAGUACAGUAGAGGUGGGCGGAAGUCGUGGUGUAGCGGUGAAAUGCUUAGAGAUCACGAAGAACUCUGAUUGCGAAGGCAGUUCACUGGACUGCAACUGACACUGAGGCGCGAAAGUGUGGGUAUCAAACAGGAUUAGAUACCCUGGUAGUC
Molecule: ribosomal RNA, 460 nt
Filed under: uncultured bacterium
Lineage: Bacteria
Description: partial 16S ribosomal RNA
Rfam family: Bacterial small subunit ribosomal RNA
Source: RNAcentral